Molecule: ribosomal RNA, 253 nt
Filed under: uncultured bacterium
Lineage: Bacteria
Description: partial 16S ribosomal RNA
Rfam family: Bacterial small subunit ribosomal RNA
Source: RNAcentral
UACGGGGAGUGCAAGCGUUGUUCGGAAUUACUGGGCGUAAAGGGCGUGUAGGCGGCCAACUAAGUCCGACGUGAAAUCCCCAGGCUUAACCUGGGAACUGCGUCGGAUACUGGAUGGCUUGAAUCCGGGAGAGGGAUGCGGAAUUCCAGGUGUAGCGGUGAAAUGCGUAGAUAUCUGGAGGAACACCGGUGGCGAAGGCGGCAUCCUGGACCGGCAUUGACGCUAAAGCGCGAAAGCCAGGGGAGCAAACGGG